AUUGAACGCUGGCGGCAGGCCUAACACAUGCCAGUCGAGCGGAUGAAGGGAGCUUGCUCCUGGAUUCAGCGGCGGACGGGUGAGUAAUGCCUAGGAAUCUGCCUGGUAGUGGGGGAUAACGUCCGGAAACGGGCGCUAAUCCCGCAUACGUUCUGAGGGAGAAAGUGGUGGAUCUUCGGACCUCACGCUAUCAGAUGAGCCUAGGUCGGAUUAGCUAGUUGGUGGGGUAAAGGCCUACCAAGGCGACGAUCCGUAACUGGUCUGAGAGGAUGAUCAGUCACACUGGAACUGAGACACGGUCCAGACUCCUACGGGAGGCAGCAGUGGGGAAUAUUGGACAAUGGGCGAAAGCCUGAUCCAGCCAUGCCGCGUGUGUGAAGAAGGUCUUCGGAUUGUAAAGCACUUUAAGUUGGGAGGAAGGGCAGUAAGUUAAUACCUUGCUGUUUUGACGUUACCAACAGAAUAAGCACCGGCUAACUUCGUG
RNAcentral lists this ribosomal RNA (484 nucleotides) under uncultured bacterium. RNAcentral describes it as "partial 16S ribosomal RNA". It matches the Rfam family "Bacterial small subunit ribosomal RNA", at positions 30 to 507 of the family's 1533-position model. The record is from RNAcentral.